UACGGGAGGCAGCAGUGGGGAAUAUUGCACAAUGGGCGAAAGCCUGAUGCAGCUAUGCCGCGUGUAUGAAGAAGGCCUUAGGGUUGUAAAGUACUUUCAUCGGGGAGGAAAAAACAAAACUAAUAAUUUUAUUUCUUGACGUUACCCGAAAAAGAAGCACCGGCUAACUCCGUGCCAGCAGCCGCGGUAAUACGGAGGGUGCUAGCGUUAAUCAGAAUUACUGGGCGUAAAGAGCACGUAGGUGGUUUUUUUAAAGUCAGAUGUGAAAUCCCUGGGCUUUAACCUGGAACUGCAUUUUGAAACUGAAAUACUAGAGUAUCGUAGAGGGAGGUAGAAUUCUAGGUGUAGCGGUGAAAUGCGUAGAUAUCUGGAGGAAUACCUGUGGCGAAAGCGGCCUCCUAAACGAAUACUGACACUGAGGGUGCGAAAGCGUGGGGAGCAAACAGGGAUUUAGAUACC
This 459-nucleotide ribosomal RNA is filed under the name uncultured bacterium. RNAcentral's name for it is "bacterial SSU rRNA". It matches the Rfam family "Bacterial small subunit ribosomal RNA", at positions 340 to 786 of the family's 1533-position model. The record is from RNAcentral.